UACGUAGGGGGCGAGCGUUGUCCGGAUUUACUGGGCGUAAAGCGCGUGUAGGCGGCUUCUUAAGUCGGGUGUGAAAGCCCGGGGCUCAACCCCGGGAUGCCGCCCGAGACUGGGAGGCUUGAGGUCGGAAGAGGGGAGUGGAAUUCCAGGUGUAGCGGUGAAAUGCGUAGAGAUCUGGAGGAACACCCGUGGCGAAGGCGGCUCCCUGGUCCGGUUCUGACGCUGAGACGCGAAAGCGCGGGGAGCGAACGGG
Molecule: ribosomal RNA, 253 nt
Filed under: uncultured bacterium
Lineage: Bacteria
Description: partial 16S ribosomal RNA
Rfam family: Bacterial small subunit ribosomal RNA
Source: RNAcentral